GACGAACGCUGGCGGCGUGCUUAACACAUGCAAGUCGAACGGUAAGGCCCUUCGGGGUACACGAGUGGCGAACGGGUGAGUAACACGUGGGUGAUCUGCCCUGCACUUCGGGAUAAGCCUGGGAAACUGGGUCUAAUACCGGAUAGGACCACUGCCUACAUGGGUGGUGGUGGAAAGCUUUUGCGGUGUGGGAUGGGCCCGCGGCCUAUCAGCUUGUUGGUGGGGUGAUGGCCUACCAAGGCGACGACGGGUAGCCGGCCUGAGAGGGUGACCGGCCACACUGGGACUGAGAUACGGCCCAGACUCCUACGGGAGGCAGCAGUGGGGAAUAUUGCACAAUGGGCGCAAGCCUGAUGCAGCGACGCCGCGUGAGGGAUGACGGCCUUCGGGUUGUAAACCUCUUUCAGCACCGACGAAGCGCAAGUGACGGUAGGUGCAGAAGAAGGACCGACCAACUACGUGCCAGCCGCCGCCGUAA
Molecule: ribosomal RNA, 478 nt
Filed under: uncultured bacterium
Lineage: Bacteria
Description: partial 16S ribosomal RNA
Rfam family: Bacterial small subunit ribosomal RNA
Source: RNAcentral